Molecule: small nucleolar RNA, 130 nt
Organism: Molossus molossus (Pallas's mastiff bat)
Lineage: Eukaryota; Metazoa; Chordata; Mammalia; Chiroptera; Molossidae
Product: small nucleolar RNA SNORA72
Exons: 1
Source: RefSeq, a predicted model, not a curated record
CUAAGAAUAUUCUCACUUUUCUGAUUUUGUAAUGAUCAGAGCAGGCUAAACAGUUGCUUUAUGAAGACCAUGCAUGUCUUUAGACCUGGUUCUUUCCCUACGUCCGGUUUCAUAGAUGCUGGUGAUAGAC